RNAcentral lists this small RNA (16 nucleotides) under Arabidopsis thaliana (thale cress). RNAcentral describes it as "ATSL113330". Lineage: Eukaryota; Viridiplantae; Streptophyta; Magnoliopsida; Brassicales; Brassicaceae. The record is from RNAcentral.
GAAAAAGACAAAAGAC